CCUACGGGCGGCAGCAGUGAGGAAUAUUGGUCAAUGGACGAGAGUCUGAACCAGCCAAGUAGCGUGAAGGAUGACUGCCCUAUGGGUUGUAAACUUCUUUUAUAUGGGAGUAAAAUGUUCCACGUGUGGGAUUAUGUAUGUACCAUAUGAAUAAGGAACGGCUAACUCCGUGCCAGCAGCCGCGGUAAUACGGAGGAUCCGAGCGUUAUCCGGAUUUAUUGGGUUUAAAGGGAGCGUAGGUGGAUUGUUAAGUCAGUUGUGAAAGUUUGCGGCUCAACCGUAAAAUUGCAUUUGAAACUGGCAGUCUUGAGUACAGUAGAGGUGGGCGGAAUUCGUGGUGUAGCGGUGAAAUGCUUAGAUAUCACGAAGAACUCCGAUUGCGAAGGCAGCUCACUGGACUGUAACUGACGCUGAGGCUCGAAAGUGUGGGGAUCAAACAGGAUUAGAUACCCGUGUAGUC
Molecule: ribosomal RNA, 460 nt
Filed under: uncultured bacterium
Lineage: Bacteria
Description: partial 16S ribosomal RNA
Rfam family: Bacterial small subunit ribosomal RNA
Source: RNAcentral